Molecule: long non-coding RNA, 9101 nt
Filed under: Nicotiana benthamiana
Lineage: Eukaryota; Viridiplantae; Streptophyta; Magnoliopsida; Solanales; Solanaceae
Description: long non-coding RNA (NBEN_LNC035409)
Source: RNAcentral
CUCGUCCCAAAAAUGCUCUCAAACCCCAUCUGAACCCUAGCCCUUCUCCUGCUCUAUUUCACCGAUGACCAUGUCUUUUCAAGCUUAAGGCACCUGUACUCACCUCUCCCUAUCUUCUAUGGCUCUCUUAUUAGAAGAUCGGAGCCCUAUCUCAAAGAUUUUCGACUCAAAGGUCCUUCUACUUGAGUUUUACAGCCGUCUCUGGUCUCUCUCCGGCAAGCCUUGAUGUUGUGAGUCCAUCGUCGACUCAGAAUCAGUCCAUUCCAGGCUUACUCGUUUCUCUAUGGUUCUUUAUCUGAAACCCUAAUUUUCAAGGUUUUCUCUGUGUUUAUCAUUACGGUCUGCUCUAGAUCCUAUUUGUUUUCUAAAGUUCCUAAGUAUUUCUCAAAUUUCUCCGCAGACUUUGUUUUCAAACUUUUCGUCUUCCUAAAAUUUAGGGUUUCUUCGAUUUCUUUGCUUUAUUUGCUCUAUUGUGAUUUUUUUCUAAUUUUUACUGUGAUUUUUUAGUAUUUUCUACUAUGGAUCCUAUGUAUUUUCCUUAAUGUGGUGUUUCUAGGGUUUUCAACUUAAAUGUUUUACUGUGUUCUCUGUUUUUCCUUAUGAUGUUCUUCCUAAGCUUAUCUUCACAUAUGUUUCUUCUUUACACUCGAGAGGUGCUGGAAACCCUAGGUUUUUUGUGAUUUUCCAUUUCUUUCUAUGUAAUUGCUUGCUACAUGUUUAAUUUCUAAACCCUAGCAUGCUUCGGAUUUCUUGCUUAUGUGUUUCUGUGCUUUGAGUACACGACUAUUCUACUAAUUUCAGCAUUGCAUGUUCGAAUUUGUACACCUCUUUAUAUAGUCAUUUUCCCCCUUUUGAAUAACCCUAAUUUUAGAAAAUUGAUUUCUUACAAACUUAUUAGAUUCUUUAAUUUGGACCGGCUCUCCGACUAAGUUCAGUAUCAAUUCGUAUCUCAAAUUCCUUAAUUUUCUCUGUGAUUGACUUACCUUAUUUGUUUAAACCAUGUGAAUUUCAAAACUUUAUAUGUACUUACCCUGUAUCUUAUGACUAAUCCUUGAUUUUCUUCCCCAAAAUAAACUUGGGUUUAUUUACCUUGAGUCUGGUUCCUUAAUUAGAGGAAACCCUUUCCCUAAUUGAUUAUGAUUGAUGCUAAGUUAUNNNNNNNNNNNNNNNNNNNNNNNNNNNNNNNNNNNNNNNNNNNNNNNNNNNNNNNNNNNNNNNNNNNNNNNNNNNNNNNNNNNNNNNNNNNNNNNNNNNNNNNNNNNNNNNNNNNNNNNNNNNNNNNNNNNNNNNNNNNNNNNNNNUAACACACGAACAAUCCUAAGUUCACUCACAUAAAACUCUCUCUUCUCUUCUCUGUUCUUCUUUGUUACUUGUUCUAUUGCUUGAGUUUAGCCGGCUGAAAGCCAAGGCUAAUCUAUAAGGUCUCACCUUCCCUAUUUGCUCUACUGUUCGAGUUUACAACUGGUAGGUCUCUGAUUUACAUAUUAACUCCAAACUACAUGUUUACUUACCCCUUCUUCCAUGUCUGUUUAUGUUCAGUAUGCAGUUAAAUUUCAGCAUGUACAUCCCUACCCUAUAUCCCGAUGCUUUUCAUGCUAUAUGUUUGUAUGACCCCAUGUCUGUUUAUGUUCAGUAUGUAGUUAAAUUUCAGUAUGUACAUCCCUACCCUAUAUCCCUAUGCUUUUUAUGCUAUAUGUUCGUAUGAGUACAUUUCUGUACAUCCCUUUUCCAAAUUGUUGUAGUUUAAUUCAGCUUGUUACAAAUGUUCUUAUGUGACCCCAUUCCCUUAACCCCCUAUUUGUGUGUGAGUUUCUUUUUAGACUAGGAUGGCACUCCAUUGCUAUUCCUAGUUUAAAACCAGGUUGCUCUCAGCCUAUGCUCAAAGUAAUCCCAUUCCUUAACCCCUAUUAUGUGUGAGCUUGACACGUGUCUGUUGGUGUUCUAAUCACCAUACAGGCCCUAGUCUGACUUGUCUCAAGUCUGCUCCUAUUUGUUAAACCAUGUAAAGGGUCAGGGGUGUGCCAGUCCCAUUCAUGGCUAGGUAUGACCACCUUUUUCAUUGGUCUUCCUCUAAUCCUUCACUUUUACACUUACUCCUACUUCUUUAAGUCCUACCCCCUCUAUUAAGCCAUGCUUAGGGACCCUCGAGUCUCCUCUGAACUUGGUGGCCUGAGUGCUGGUAGUUCCACACUUUGCACUACUUUAAUUAUUUAGGGUGUAUGCAUUGCCUGGGUUUCCCCUAAAAGCACUUGAAAUUUUGAAACACUCUAAGAGAAAGCCUUGAAAUUUGGAGCCUGGAUUUGGUAAAAAUGCAUAUGUUGGACAUUAAGGUUGCUUUUUGCUUCCUCGGGUCUGUUUAGCUUUGAUGCAUUUACUUCCUUAGUCUUUUCCUUUCUUUUAUGUCAACCAUCUUUGUACAAAGAACUUGGGGAUACAGUGAAAAGGGUAUGGGAGGGGUUUACAUUAUUGCAUCAAUCAAUGGGUAGAAAUCAUGCCUAUAGAUUUUCAACAUUACUUUUCAUAUAGAAUUCAUGCCUAUAGGUUUUCAAUAUUGCAUCAAUCAAUGGGUAGAAAUAAUGCCUAUAGGUUUUCAAUAUUGCAUCUCACUUAGAAAUCAUGCCUAUAGGUUUUCAAUAUUCUUCUCAUUUAGAAAUUACGCCUAUAAGAAUUCAAUAUUGCAUCUCAUAUAGAAAUCAUGCCCAUAAGUUUUCAAUAUUGCAUCUCAUAUAGAAAUCAUGCCUGUAGGUUUUCAAUGUUGCUUCUUAUUUAGAAAUUAUGCCUAUAAGUUUUCAAUAUUACAUCACACCUAGAAACCAUGCCUAUAGGAAUUGCAUAAAAACGCUAGGGAAACAGUAGGCCCCUUUAAACUUACUAAAAGUAAUAAAAUCAAUAUAUAGAUAUCCUGCCUAUUGGGUUCAAUCAUCGCCUUGUUAAACGUUUUCAAUAUUGUUUAUCUGAAAGGUGUCUAUUUGAAAUUAGGCCAAGUCUGCCCUUUUACGUUAUUCUGAACAUGUAGAGUCUUUUUUUCUAAAUCCCAAAUCUGCAGAACUAAAUUUAGCCUGCCUAAGUUUACACUCCAAGUCUCUCUUUUGAGAACUUUCUUUAAGCAGUUUGUAAGCCAUUUCUGAACUUUCGGCAGACUCUAAAUCCCUCUUUACAGAUCUAUGCCUGAAACUAACAUUUUUCUCUAAAAUUACUGCUCUUAAAUCAUGUCAAGUUCUAAUAACCAGACCUGAGGGCCCAAAGCAGAUUUGUUAUCCAGCUUCACGUGUUAAACUAAUCUAUUCGCGAUCAGCUUUAAUAUUAAGACCAAAUCAACAUUUGUAAGCCAUGCUAAACUAAUUGUUGUUAUGGUUUACGGGCACGUGUUAAACUAAUCUAUUCGCGAUCAGCUUUAAUAUUAAGACCAAAUCAGUAUUUGCAAGUCAUGCUAGACUAAUUUCUAUUAUGGUUUACGGGGUUUUGUAUGAGCCUUUGAAUGUCUUAUUUGUAUUCCCUUAUAUGCUAUUUGUUUUGGAUUGACGCUUUAGUGUUUUACCUUUGAAACUUCACAUAUAUCAUAUCUUUCUCUUCCCUUUUUAGGAUUAGAAGUCCUAAUACCCCAGGACUAAUAGAUUGGGACCGGUACUAGCAUGCAAUAAGUAAACGAGACCAAACGCGUUUAAGUACCUUAACGGGGUGGGAAGGUUGGGAUGGGUACUAGCAUGCAAUAAGUAAACGAGACCAAAACGUUUAAGUACCUUAACGGGGAGGGAAGGGUAGAAUAUGGAGAUGAUGACCGGUGCGCUCAUACCAUAGGCGACCCCUCUUUGAGGAGUGUGUGCGGGGUAUUGUACCGAUGUGACCUAUAUUAUAGUCAAACAUAGGAUCUUUUUCUCUUUUGCUUGCUUUAUUUAAAUGGUUUUCUAAAGUAAUGCUUUUCAAAUUAAUUCUCUCUUCUACUUUUAUUUAACUCAUACCCUUCCCCUUUUUAAAAAUUCUCAAGUUGCUUGAAUUCUUUAUAUGUGAUCCUUAUUUGUUUAUUUGCCUUAUUUCCUAUUAAAGUCACAAUUAAUACGGCCGGGAACCACACCAGCGGAUCUUGAGGUGUCUAACACCUUCCCCUCGAGAUAAUCUCAAGCCCUUACCCGAACAUUGGUUUUCGUUCAAAAAUACUCUCUUCUUCUUAAAAGUGUCAUAAUGCACUAUAAUUAUUAGGUGGCGACUCUUCAAAUUGCAUAACCCGAUUCCCAAACGGGAAUAAGAGUUGUUUUGUCCAUAAUAUCGUAAAGCCAAUAUUUCUUCUUUUAGUUGAAAAGGGGGCAUUGACAGAUAUUUGAACCAAUAACUGGGCAGAACACGAUUGUCCAUGCCUAGUUUGAUAUCAAUCUCAAAUGAUUUCAAACAGACAUGCAUUAUAGCCAAUGAGGGUCCCCAUUUUUGUGAUGUAUACCUACUGGGAAACGUUAGUAUUUUAUUACAACAUACUCCAUUUGAUCCCAAAAUUAUGUGUAAAUAACCAUGCUUCCACAGUUUAAACAUAUUCUUCCUAGCUUCCAUUCUUUUGCCUACUAUUAGUACUCAUUACAUGGGAAUGAGCAUUAAAUGCUAAUACCACCCUUAGAAUUUGUAACCAAUAGUAGGGUAUGGAUACAGUAACUUUUCCUGCAAAAAAUCACAAAGUUAGCAAUAUAACUGGUCAUCGCAGCCUUCUCCCUAAGGAUUUGGAUGUGAUGUUCUGCAGCAUCCUGUUAUUCUGCAGUCAUUUUUGCCUGGCUCCUUGUAUGUAGGGAAGCAAAUGAGUUGAAACUUGAUUUGUUCCAACAACUUGCUCUAUUCCACCUGUGCACAUCUUUGAUUUUACUCCAUCUGAUGCACACCUUUGUGAUUUGUGAUGUAUAUAUGCAGUCAGAUCCAUGAAGGUUGCUUCUAUUGUUUUUGAUAUGUUCAUUUGUUCUCGAUAGUAGUGUAGGAACGCCCCAGCAGUCCUUGAUUGUCUCGAUCAAGAGUACCUGCCCACACCAGAAUGGGGCAACAGAAUACUCUUCAUUGAUUCUAUGAUUUUGUCUACCUUUAUUUCCUCCCAUUGGAUUGAGUGCAUAGCACUAAUACCACCAACUGGGCAUCCAUAUAGAGUAGGGCAUCGCUGAAUACACCACCAGCAGGUUUUGAGCAUGAUCAUCAUAUGAGUCCCUUUCUGUCAGUCCCUUUUUCCUUGUCUUCUCACAUUCCCCUUUCCUUACUUCCUUACAACUGAAGCUCUGAUGUAUGGACAUUGUAUUUUAUCGCUAUUCACCAAUUGCCUUCCUUUUGUAUCUAGAUCCUCAAACGAAUGACAUUCUACAGGCCCAAAAUCCAAUGCAUAGUUUGCCAUGUGAUCAGCUAACAUAUUGCCUUCUCUAAAAGUGUGUGUUAUUAUUAAAUUGCCAUUGCUCAUCAGUUAUCUAAUCUCCUCCACAAUUUCCCCUAUAGCCCAAGGAGGUUUCCACUCUCCAGUUAUUACAUUCUUUAGGAGCAUUGAGUCACUAUGUAAGUCUAUCAAGACAUAGUCAUUGUUCAGGCAAAACGUCAGAGCUUCAUGUAUAGAUGUUUCUUCUGCCACUGUGUUUGACGCUUCAGGAAUCUCCUUGCCACAAGCAUACACUACAUCUCCAUCUUCAUUCCUCAACACAUAUCCAAUAGAACUUCUACCUGGGUUACCUCUAGCUGCUCCAUCGGUAUUAACUUCGAUCCACCCUUGGCUAGGUAGUUCCCACAACACUUUAGUAUACUUCAAAAUAGGAGUAUAAUCCUCCAUCAUCUUAAACAUAUCUGGCCAUCGAGGGGGAACACUUUGAAUUCCUGGUUUCCUUAGUUUGAUUAAGGACUUAAUGGUCAAAGAUACCUGAUAUAUUACUCUAUUAACUGUGACUGCAUCCCCAUAUUUAUAACUAUUGAUUCUAUUCCAUAAUUCCCAUACGAUCACAUAAGGGCGAGCUUGAAUAAUAGGCUUCAGUCUCUGAGAAACAUCUGCAGUCCAAAACCUAACAAGUGCUUGAUGCAAAGUGAUUCCUUCCACUGAAAUACCUGCAUACCCAUAAAAUCUUCCAUACUAUAUUAGCUGCAUAGGAAGUAAAGAAAAGGUGCUGCAUAGUCUCUUCCUUUGGUUCAGUACAACACCAACAUUUGGAUUUCAUUAGAUAUCCUAUUCUUCUGAAAACAUCAUCAAGAGGCAAUUUAUUUUUCCACAGCUUCCACAUAAAAAAAGCAAUCUUGAAAGGUAGCCCUUUGACCCAAUAUUCUUGUAUGCAUUACAUGGUUCUUGUCUUUUCCUUAAGUAUUCCCAGCUUGAUUUAACUGAAAACUCACCCCUAGUUUCCAACAUCCAAACAAGUUUAUCCAAAGUCUCAUUUGACACAGGUGGUUGUAUGUUUUCCAGAAUGUGUCUAGCAAGAUCUUCAGGCAAAAUUUCCUUAAUCUUAUCCUCAUCCCAUGUAAUGACCCGACCCGUCAUCUCAGGUAUCUCUGCCUCGUUUUCCCUGUUUUAUGCUUCUAUAUGUUUCAUUAUAUGUGUUUGGUGAAUUUGAAGUAAUUCGGACAGAGUUUGGGUUGAAAUGAGACAAUUAGUCCCUUUAUGAGAAGGUUAGUUUGGAAAAGUCAACCGAAUAUUGACUAACGCGUUAGAGGACUCAAAAUGGAUUUUCGACGAUUCGACUAGUUUGGGUGGUUAUUUAUGACUUAGGAGCACAAUCGGAACUGAAUUUGGAGGUUUGAUAUAGAUUUUGGCUUAAAUUGGCUAAGUUAGAAUUUUGGCGAAGUCCGGUUGAUAGGUGAGAUUUUGAUUAGGGGGUCGGAAUGGAAAUCCGACGGUUGCAGUACCUCUGUAAGAUGAUUUUGGAUAUGCCUGCAAAUUUUCAGAGCAUUCGGAGGUGUUUAGGAAGGGUUUAGGAUUAAAUGUGUGUUUCGGAAGUUUUAGAAGAACCUAGGCUUGAAUCCGAUGUAAAUUUGGUGUUUGAUGUUUGUUUUGGUGUUUUGAGAGUGCAACUAAGUUUGAAUAAUCAUAUGUGAUGUUUCAGUAUGUUCGUAUGCGGUCCCGAGGAGUUCAGGUAAGUUUCGGAUAGGUUUGGGCUGUGUUGUGCUCGUUUUUCUUAUGCUUCGACGUCGUUUCUUCAAGCAUAAGUGAUAUCAUAUUGAACGAAUAAGCUCCCGUUAUUGUUUUGAAUAAAUCACCAGAUUUGUAUCGUAAUUAUGGACCCUUAGCAAAAUGAAUCGUCGAAUUUAGACAUCGUAUGAGGAUAUGAUCGUUUUACCAAGGUUGCCAAGAUUUUCAAGUUAAUGACGAAAUUGCCCCUGACGGCGUAUUAAAAACCUGCAAUAGUUGCAAAUCUUAAAACCUACAUAUCUCCUUCAUUAUAAGGUUAAAUUGAGUGAUUCAAAAGCCUAAGUUCAUUAUAAUUUCACAAGGAAUCCAAUGGGAGCAGUAAAACGUGUGAACAAUAUACCUAUAAUGAGCAGGUCGAGUUUUCUUUCAAUUAUUGAACGAGAAGAAGCUUCCGAAGCAGUUUUUUAGAGAGAAAAUCAGUGGGUAUCGCAAAGGUAAGUUAUUUGAUUAUUAAAACGCAUUUAUAGGUGAUUAUAAACCAUUAUCCCAGCCUUUUAUUCUAGAAAAAAGUAGAAAAAAAGGAUUUUGGGGCCUGAGAUUAUGAGACCUUUAGGGGUCUAUUUGAGGGGUCAAAUGGACUUCGAUUUUGGUGUCCUUUAUAUGUACGAAAUGAGGAGAAGAUGAAGAACACUUUUCUGUAAAAAUUUCUGAGUUUCGAGAGUUGAACCCGGGGCUCAGGUUUUGUCAAUUUCGGGAUUAUUGGUGCUUUUCUACUAUUUUCGAUUGGGUAUUGAUCCUAUAGCGUAAUGUGAUGUAUUCGUAAUGGUUUUGGCUAGAUUUGAUGCGCGAGGAGGUUCAUUCGAGAGGAAAGGGCAUCGCGGGCUAGUCUACGGCCGGUUAGAGGUGAGUAGUUUGUAUAGAUGAUGGCCUGAGGGUUUGAAACCCCGGUUAAUCACAUCGUGAUGCUAUGUUAGGGCGUGAGUCGCACCCCAUAGCAGGUGAGGGAUGGUAUAUGAUUGGGGAUUGUGAUUUGGUCCAUCCCGAGAGUUGAAUAAAAUUAUUGGCGGUUGGUACGCACAUUGUGUUGUCGAUAAUUGGGCUUAAUGCUAUGUUUGGGGCCUUGUGCCGAUCUGUAGCAUCUGUCUAGGAUGAAUAUCAUUAUGAUUGUAUGAUUUGCAAAAUCAUUAAUCUCAUUCCUGUGUAUAAUUGACGUUAUUAAAUGCAAAGUCACCUUUUUUCUGAUAUAAAUUAACUAAAUUAUAUUCACCUUUAUAAUUGGAAAAAUGGAAAAUUAGAUUGAAUCUGUUAUGUGACUCAUAUGCAUACUGUGGACUGAGCAUGGGUUGGGCUGCACGCCGCAGCGGUGAUAUGAUAAUAUUGCGCUUGGGCUGAAGGAGCCCCUCCAGAGUCUGUACACACCCCCAGUGAGCGCAUGGGUCGGGCUUCACACCGCAGCGGUGAUAUAAUGAUAUUGCGCUUUGGCUGAAGGAGCCCCUCCGGAGUCUGUACACACCCCAGUGAGAGUCGUCGACGUUAAACGGAUCGGGCUGCACACCACAGCGGUUUCAUGUGCACUGCUUGCAUCUUUAUCUGAUACUUGACUGUUAUAUUUGAUAUUGCUUUGCCGUAAGUUUGUAGCUAAGGUAUAGGUCUGUUAGUUUUAGCUUAGCUUUGUGGAAUUUCAUGGAUUUCUUACUUUCAGAUAUUAUAUAUGCUUAUUACUCACUGAGUCGGUAGUACUCACCCCUACUCCCUCCACCUUGUGUGCAUAUUGAUACAAAAGUUCUUUUAUUAUGAGUCGGUAGUACUCACCCCUACUCCCUCCACCUUGUGUGCAGAUUCAGGUACACCGGAGGCUUAGCUGAGCACUCGUAGUCUCCAGAUAUUCUUCAGAGUCGUUGAGGUAGCUGUUUGACAUUCGCAGGACCUGGAUGCUCUUCAUAUUUUAGUUUAUUACUAUUAUAGACAUUUCCAAACUUUUACAUUUUCGUUCAGCUGUUAUUAUCCAGUUUUGUUUAGAGGCUGUAGGCUCAUGACCCAG